GAUGAACGCUGGCGGCGUGCCUAAUACAUGCAAGUCGAGCGAACAGACGAGGAGCUUGCUCCUCUGACGUUAGCGGCGGACGGGUGAGUAACACGUGGAUAAGCUACCUAUAAGACUGGGAUAACUUCGGGAAACCGGAGCUAAUACCGGAUAAUAUAUUGAACCGCAUGGUUCAAUAGUGAAAGACGGUUUUGCUGUCACUUAUAGAUGGAUCCGCGCCGCAUUAGCUAGUUGGUAAGGUAACGGCUUACCAAGGCGACGAUGCGUAGCCGACCUGAGAGGGUGAUCGGCCACACUGGAACUGAGACACGGUCCAGACUCCUACGGGAGGCAGCAGUAGGGAAUCUUCCGCAAUGGGCGAAAGCCUGACGGAGCAACGCCGCGUGAGUGAUGAAGGUCUUCGGAUCGUAAAACUCUGUUAUUAGGGAAGAACAAAUGUGUAAGUAACUAUGCACGUCUUGACGGUACCUAAUCAGAAAGCCACGGCUAACUACGUG
RNAcentral lists this ribosomal RNA (497 nucleotides) under uncultured bacterium. RNAcentral's name for it is "partial 16S ribosomal RNA". It matches the Rfam family "Bacterial small subunit ribosomal RNA", at positions 28 to 507 of the family's 1533-position model. The record is from RNAcentral.